AUCAGACACGCCUACGGGAGGCAGCAGUGGGGAAUAUUGCACAAUGGGCGCAAGCCUGAUGCAGCCAUGCCGCGUGUGUGAAGAAGGCCUUCGGGUUGUAAAGCACUUUCAGUCAGGGGAAGGUUAGUAGUUAAUACCUGCUAGCUGUGACGUUACUGACAGAAGAAGCACCGGCUAACUCCGUGCCAGCAGCCGCGGUAAUACGGAGGGUGCGAGCGUUAAUCGGAAUUACUGGGCGUAAAGCGUACGCAGGCGGUUUGUUAAGCGAGAUGUGAAAGCCCCGGGCUCAACCUGGGAACUGCAUUUCGAACUGGCAAACUAGAGUGUGAUAGAGGGUGGUAGAAUUUCAGGUGUAGCGGUGAAAUGCGUAGAGAUCUGAAGGAAUACCGAUGGCGAAGGCAGCCACCUGGGUCAACACUGACGCUCAUGUACGAAAGCUGGGGGAGCAAACAGGAUUAGAUACCCGCGUAGUCCA
This 475-nucleotide ribosomal RNA is filed under the name uncultured Gammaproteobacteria bacterium. Its description in RNAcentral is "bacterial SSU rRNA". It matches the Rfam family "Bacterial small subunit ribosomal RNA", at positions 328 to 797 of the family's 1533-position model. The record is from RNAcentral. Lineage: Bacteria; Pseudomonadati; Pseudomonadota; Gammaproteobacteria.